GACGUAGGAGGCGAGCGUUGUCCGGAUUCAUUGGGCGUAAAGAGCACGCAGGCGGUUUGGCAGGUCGGAUGUGAAAACCCGGAGCUCAACUCCGGACCUGCAUCCGAAACUGCCCGACUAGAGGUAGGUAGGGGAGAUCGGAAUUCCUGGUGUAGCGGUGAAAUGCGCAGAUAUCAGGAGGAACACCGGUGGCGAAGGCGGAUCUCUGGGCCUUACCUGACGCUCAGGUGCGAAAGCUAGGGGAGCGAACAGG
RNAcentral lists this ribosomal RNA (253 nucleotides) under uncultured bacterium. RNAcentral describes it as "partial 16S ribosomal RNA". It matches the Rfam family "Bacterial small subunit ribosomal RNA", at positions 524 to 776 of the family's 1533-position model. The record is from RNAcentral.